This 72-nucleotide transfer RNA is filed under the name Trichomalopsis sarcophagae. RNAcentral describes it as "tRNA-OTHER". Lineage: Eukaryota; Metazoa; Arthropoda; Insecta; Hymenoptera; Pteromalidae. The record is from RNAcentral.
GUAGACGUUAGCUCAGUGGUUAGAGCUCUCGCUUGUUAUUCUCGGGGUCCGCGGUUCAAGCCCGUAUCUACU